GACGAACGCUGGCGGCGUGCUUAACACAUGCAAGUCGAACGGGAUUUCCCAGACGAAGUUUUCGGAUGGAAUUUACGUAUGCUUAUGGGCAAAGGGUGAAUUACCGCGGGGAUACCCGGCCUUGACCGUGGGAAUAACGCAGAAAAAUUUCCGCUAAAACCGCAAAAAACCACGAAACCCCUGGUUGAACGGUUAAAAAUUUUUUGGGCAUAAAAGGGAUCGCGUCUGAUUUACUUUGUGGUGAGAUAACAGGCUCCCCAGGGGAACAAUAGUAACCCGGCUGAAAAGAUGAAACGGCCCCUUGGAAAUGAAAACCCGGCCCAACUCCUACCGGAAGGCGCAGUGGGGAAUAUUUGAACAUGGGGGAAACCCUGGAGCCACCGACCCCCGUGAACUAAAAAAGUAUUCGUAUAUGUAAGUUCUGUUCUAUGGGAAAAAAAUGGACGUACCAUGAAAAAAAGCUCCGGCUUAAUACGUGCCCGCCGCCGCGGUAAUACGUAUGGAGCGAGCGUUGUCCGGAAUUAUCUGGCGUAAAGGGUACGCCAGAGGUUUAAUAAGUCCAAAGUUGAAGAUCGUGGCUCCACCCCGUGAAUUGCUUGUAGACUGAUUUUGUUGAGUAUGGGAGAGGAAAGUGGAAAUCUCAGUGUGUUGGUGAAAUACGUAUAUAUUUGGAGAAGUACCCCUGACGCAAGCGACUUUCUGGGCACGACCUGUGACUUUGAUGCUCGAACGUGUGGAGCGCACACGAGUAUAUAUCCUAGUAUACUACGAGGGAAUUUUCCACUGUGUAUAUCGCUUAUCUCUAUCCCGUACAUCUCGGGGGGGGCCCCGUAUCCCCCUUUUUUGCUCUUUUUGAGGGGGGUAUUUAUA
Molecule: ribosomal RNA, 870 nt
Filed under: Parahaemophilus parainfluenzae
Lineage: Bacteria; Pseudomonadati; Pseudomonadota; Gammaproteobacteria; Pasteurellales; Pasteurellaceae
Description: Haemophilus parainfluenzae partial 16S ribosomal RNA
Rfam family: Bacterial small subunit ribosomal RNA
Source: RNAcentral